This 253-nucleotide ribosomal RNA is filed under the name uncultured bacterium. RNAcentral describes it as "partial 16S ribosomal RNA". It matches the Rfam family "Bacterial small subunit ribosomal RNA", at positions 524 to 776 of the family's 1533-position model. The record is from RNAcentral.
UACGUAGGGGGCAAGCGUUGUCCGGAAUCAUUGGGCGUAAAGAGCGUGUAGGCGGCCAGAUAAGUCCGCUGUGAAAUCUCGAGGCUCAACCUCGAGACGCCGAUGGAAACCAUGUGGCUAGAGUCCGGAAGAGGAGAGUGGAAUUCCUGGUGUAGCGGUGAAAUGCGCAGAUAUCAGGAAGAACACCCGUGGCUAAGGCGGCUCUCUAGUACGGUACUGACGCUGAGACGCGAAAGCGUGGGGAGCGAACAGG